GAUGAACGCUGGCGGCGUGCUUAACACAUGCAAGUCGAACGAAGCAGUUUAUUACGAUCCCUUCGGGGUGACGAUUUACUGACUGAGUGGCGGACGGGUGAGUAACGCGUGGGUAACCUACCUUGUACAGGGGGACAACAGUUGGAAACGACUGCUAAUACCGCAUAAGCGCACAGCUUCGCAUGAAGGAGUGUGAAAAGUAUUUUCGGUACAAGAUGGACCCGCGUCUGAUUAGCUAGUUGGUGAGGUAAUGGCUCACCAAGGCGACGAUCAGUAGCCGACCUGAGAGGGUGACCGGCCACAUUGGGACUGAGACACGGCCCAAACUCC
RNAcentral lists this ribosomal RNA (330 nucleotides) under uncultured Pseudobutyrivibrio sp. Its description in RNAcentral is "bacterial SSU rRNA". It matches the Rfam family "Bacterial small subunit ribosomal RNA", at positions 28 to 339 of the family's 1533-position model. Lineage: Bacteria; Bacillati; Bacillota; Clostridia; Lachnospirales; Lachnospiraceae. The record is from RNAcentral.